This 72-nucleotide non-coding RNA is filed under the name Citrobacter freundii. The record is from RNAcentral. Lineage: Bacteria; Pseudomonadati; Pseudomonadota; Gammaproteobacteria; Enterobacterales; Enterobacteriaceae.
AACCGCCCGGUGCGGACCCGCAUGCCGGGUGGUGUAGCAGGGACGCAGCCUUGUGCUGCCCCCUAUGCCGAU